Molecule: unclassified non-coding RNA, 440 nt
Filed under: uncultured Alteromonadaceae bacterium
Lineage: Bacteria; Pseudomonadati; Pseudomonadota; Gammaproteobacteria; Alteromonadales; Alteromonadaceae
Description: partial 16S-23S ribosomal RNA intergenic spacer
Source: RNAcentral
CCUCCUUACCAUUACGUCGAAAGACGCACUUGAUGCAGUGCCUACACAGAUUGUUUUGUUCGUAAAUGAACAAACUUGGAUACUUACGAUACUCCUGAGAGUACUGUGAGUCCUCCUUGCGCAAAAGUCAUGACAAAAAGCGUCAUGAUUUUGCACGAUAGUUCUUUAACAAAUUUGGAAAGCUGAUAUUAAUAGUAAUCAAUCAAAAUUGAGUACCUGAGAAGUCGAAAGACGUACUUUUUUACUCUACUUGACUUGAAAUUGCUUGUUAUCAACAUUGAUUGAUAGCCAAGGGCAAUUCUUCCCAAUUAGCUUGGUCAUGCCUUACAAACAUUUACCCUUUGUUCCGAAAUUUCAAAAAGGCCGGACAAUUGAAGGCCCGAAUUCUUCAAGGGCUUUUUUUAAAGGUUUGGUUAUGGUUAAAAUUGGACCAAAACCCA